AACGAACGCUGGCGGCAUGCCUAACACAUGCAAGUCGAACGAGACCUUCGGGUCUAGUGGCGCACGGGUGCGUAACGCGUGGGAACCUGCCCUUAGGUUCGGAAUAACUCCCCGAAAGGGGUGCUAAUACCGGAUAAUGUCUUCGGACCAAAGAUUUAUCGCCUUUGGAUGGGCCCGCGUUGGAUUGGCUAGUUGGUAGGGUAAAUGCCUACCAAGGCGACGAUCCAUAGCUGGUCUGAGAGGAUGAUCAGCCACACUGGGACUGAGACACGGCCCAGACUACUACGGGAGGCAGCAGUGGGGAAUAUUGGAAAAUGGGCGGAAGCCUGAUCCAGCAAUGCCGGGUGAGUGAUGAAGGCCUUAGGGUUGUAAAGCUCUUUUACCCGGGAUGAUAAUGACAGUACCGGGAGAAUAAGCUCCGGCUAACUCCGUG
Molecule: ribosomal RNA, 433 nt
Filed under: uncultured bacterium
Lineage: Bacteria
Description: partial 16S ribosomal RNA
Rfam family: Bacterial small subunit ribosomal RNA
Source: RNAcentral